AAAAAAAAAAAAGAAGCACACACUUGUUCUUAUCUUUCUGCAUGCUCUAAUGGUUGUUUUCUUUUUUCCUCCCUCUUAAAAAUGUUUUU
Molecule: non-coding RNA, 89 nt
Filed under: Eutreptiella gymnastica
Lineage: Eukaryota; Euglenozoa; Euglenophyceae; Eutreptiales; Eutreptiaceae
Source: RNAcentral